CUGAUGCAUAACUGGCUGUUGGUUACCAGAGAACGGGGUUUCUCCUCAGCAUCACUUCAACAUCUAUCUUCUUGUCAGUCACCUUCUCUCGUUCCCUCCUGCACAAUUCUUCCCCCAACACUCACCUCCAAACCCCGUUUCUGACCUGAGGAUGCUCUGGACCUGCUCCGCUUCCUUCUCCCGAUGGAACCUUCCAUUUAAACCCAGAGACGAAGACCCUAGGUGUUUCCUCCUGAGUUGGACGUUUACCGGGAAAUCUGACAGCUGUUAUUUUCAGCUCUCUGUACAACCAACUGAUGCCAGACAAGAUAUGGACCCAGUUGUUGUGGUUGUGGUUGCCCCAGAGGAACUUAUUCCAAAGUUCGCACGGGCAAUCCUGGCUUGAAGUGACCGAGCACGCCCCCGUCUAAUCCGAGGGUCCAGAGGGCCCAGGAGGGAACACAGCACAUCGGAAGGGGGAGAGCUUCCUGCAGCCCCGGUCUUGAUGCCAAUCUGCCCCGUGACCUCGGGCAAGACGCUUCACCUCUCCAAGUCCUCCGCUGAACAGCCGACAACUCUAGAUGCAGAACUCAAAACCAUUCACUGUAUAGUGAUGGACAUUUGAACCAUAUUUAAACGUGCAUUUAGGUUCCUAACUAAAAAGAAAAAGAUAAUGUGUAUUGCUGCAGUAACUCUUCUUAAAGUUUGAACACGGUGAUGGAGAGAACGAGAGACCUGAUCGUGGGUCACAUUUCCUCCUUCAGGCUUCUUUUGUGGUUGUUAAUUCAAGGCUCCUUUGAGCGCUAUCUGUGUCAUUUGAAACUUUAGUGAGGGCGACGUGGAAUCUUGAACAGAGAGGAGCAGGCCUGUCCCCAACCCCCCUCAGCUGCCGCUCUUCCUUCCAGUAACCACUUGGCACUCUCCUCCUUCGGAUAUUUGUGAGGGAGUUUGGGGCAUCACAACCAAGUGGCACACCAAUGAUGAACGUUUUCAUUCUAACGUUGAUGCUGAGGUUUGAAACCACUUACAAAUGUUAGCUUUUCAUUGUUUAGAAUGGCUUAGUCUACGAACAUGGAUGUUCUUUUAUUCACGCAGUCAAUCCUAUUGAACACAUACCAUCAAUGAAGCAGGAAAACAGUGUUUUCCGUCUCCGGAGGUGUCUGCAGAAAGGAGGCAGCACGCGCUGGCGUGACUCAGUGCCACAUCAACGAGCCUCUGCUUAGGCUUGUCUUGGAAGAGAGCGGACAGAUGGCAGAAGGACACUUUCACGACACACACCUGAGCCAAGACCAGAAUUCGCAGUGCAUUUUUAAAGAAUGUCUGAGAUAUAAGUGUCUGAAUGUGCGUUUCUGAAAUUUAAGCUUGAAAAUCCGGGGAAUAAUUGAAAACUGGAAUCUAUAUAUUUUUCUAAAAUCACCGAAUUGAAGCCAAAAUGGAAUAUCUGUGACCUCCACAAAAUGCUCUUAGUUUGAGGUCAUGGUCUUUGGUUAGACAGAAACCAGGGAGGCGGUCAAAGAGUGUGGGCGAUGACGAAGUGCUGCUCUGGGGUGGAAGGCGAGGGGUUGAUGCCCUCAGACCCACUGGGGGCCCGUUUCCAGGUCUCACUGACCUGGGUAAGAGGGCUCUUCGAUAGCGAGACUUUUCUGCUGUGGUUUAAAUUCUUUUUCUUCACCAUCCUUCUGUGAAGAUGGGGGCAGCGAGGUCUUAUUUGCCUGCCUUGGCCCUGUCUAUGCUCUAUGACUGUAAAUGCUUAACUGGCUCUUCCGCCGACAGAAAGGUCCAAACAUCUCAGUGAGCCUUCGAGAUGCUUCAGUCCUGCUCUUCCUCCGCACCUGUCUCUCACACGAGAGGCCCGAGCGGACCAGCGCUGACAACAGCGCUAAGAUUGCUUUUGUUCUCACGCAUUCCAGGCUCCGGCACAAAUCUCCAAUUACUUUGUUUUUGUUUUUGUUUUUGAGUAACAGGGCUCGGCAGUGCUCUUUCUCAGCAUCUAUGACUCUCUAUCCUUGUCCAGCUCACUUUUUUGGGUCAUUUUUUGCACCUUCCCAGUCUCCAGUCAGGACUGUUUCCGUGGGUCGUUCAGAAGCCUCCAGUUUGGAAGGGAGGCAGGAAAACUAGCAGUUAAGACCCUAUUGACCAGCAGGGCCAUAGACUCACUAAGAUAUUAGACCGGUCCUAGAAGAGCUUGUGGAGACGGGUCAGACCCUCCCUCCCACAUCCCGGCCUCCCGACAUCCCUUGGGCACGCAGCCCCUGCUGGAAGCUCUCCUGAAGCUGAAAAGUCAUCGCGUUAUGAAGCAGCACAUUCCAUCGCUGGACAGCUCUGGUCGUCGGGGAGACCUGCUUCCCCAUAGCUUCUUCCCUUCGGUUCUGGUUUGACUCACGGUUCCUCACUGACAAACGGAAGGCCUCCGUGACAGCAACCGGCGUGAAGACACGUUCCUCGCAACAUCCCUCGUCAACUUGGAUUCUAGGUGACUCCCCUCUCCCCGGAUGAACAGAAGCUGACAACUUAUACUUGAUUUCUGGCAGUUAAUGCCAGGAAACAAAAUAAACUGUUUUUAUUUGA
RNAcentral lists this long non-coding RNA (2547 nucleotides) under Equus caballus (horse). RNAcentral's name for it is "lncRNA (ENSECAG00000044818.1)". Lineage: Eukaryota; Metazoa; Chordata; Mammalia; Perissodactyla; Equidae. The record is from RNAcentral.